This 305-nucleotide ribosomal RNA is filed under the name uncultured bacterium. RNAcentral's name for it is "partial 16S ribosomal RNA". It matches the Rfam family "Bacterial small subunit ribosomal RNA", at positions 506 to 808 of the family's 1533-position model. The record is from RNAcentral.
ACAGCAGUAGCCGCGGUAAUACGUAGGUCCCGAGCGUUGUCCGGAUUUAUUGGGCGUAAAGCGAGCGCAGGCGGUUAGAUAAGUCUGAAGUUAAAGGCUGUGGCUUAACCAUAGUACGCUUUGGAAACUGUUUAACUUGAGUGCAAGAGGGGAGAGUGGAAUUCCAUGUGUAGCGGUGAAAUGCGUAGAUAUAUGGAGGAACGCCGGUGGCGAAAGCGGCUCUCUGGUCUGUAACUGACGCUGAGGCUCGAAAGCGUGGGGAGCAAACAGGAUUAGAUACCCGAGUAGUCCCUGUCUCUUAUACC